This 432-nucleotide ribosomal RNA is filed under the name uncultured bacterium. RNAcentral describes it as "partial 16S ribosomal RNA". It matches the Rfam family "Bacterial small subunit ribosomal RNA", at positions 29 to 506 of the family's 1533-position model. The record is from RNAcentral.
AACGAACGCUGGCGGCAUGCCUAACACAUGCCAGUCGAACGAGACCUUCGGGUCUAGUGGCGCACGGGUGCGUAACGCGUGGGAACCUGCCCUUAGGUUCGGAAUAACUCCCCGAAAGGGGUGCUAAUACCGGAUAAUGUCUUCGGACCAAAGAUUUAUCGCCUUUGGAUGGGCCCGCGUUGGAUUAGCUAGUUGGUAGGGUAAAAGCCUACCAAGGCGACGAUCCAUAGCUGGUCUGAGAGGAUGAUCAGCCACACUGGGACUGAGACACGGCCCAGACUCCUACGGGAGGCAGCAGUGGGGAAUAUGGGACAAUGGGCGAAAGCCGGAUCCAGCAAUGCCGCGGGAGUGAUGAAGGCCUUAGGGUUGUAAAGCUCUUUUACCCGGGAUGAUAAGGACAGUACCGGGAGAAUAAGCUCCGGCUAACUCCGG